Molecule: ribosomal RNA, 460 nt
Filed under: uncultured bacterium
Lineage: Bacteria
Description: partial 16S ribosomal RNA
Rfam family: Bacterial small subunit ribosomal RNA
Source: RNAcentral
CCUACGGGUGGCAGCAGUGAGGAAUCUUCGUCAAUGGCCGUAAGGCUGACCCAGCCAAGUAGCGUGAGGGAAGACUGCCCUCUGAGUUGUAAACCUCUUUUAUGCAGGGAUACAGGUGUUCACGUGUGGGUGUUUGCAGGUACCGCAUGAAUAAGGACCGGCUAAUUCCGUGCCAGCAGCCGCGGUAAUACGGAGGGUCCGGGCGUUAUCCGGAUUUAUUGGGUUUAAAGGGAGCGUAGGCCGGUCUUUAAGCGUGCCGUGAAAUUUUGUGGCUCAACCAUGGGAGUGCGGCGCGAACUGGAGACCUUGAGUGCGGGGAAGGCAGGUGGAAGUCGUGGUGUAGCGGUGAAAUGCUUAGAUAUAACGAAGAACCCCGAUUGCGAAGGCAGCCUGCCGCAGCGUUACUGACGCUGAAGCUCGAAAGCGCGGGUAGCGAACAGGAUUAGAUACCCCGGUAGUC